AGCAGCCGCGGUAAUUCCAGCUCCAAUAGCGUAUAUUAAAGUUGUUGCAGUUAAAAAGCUCGUAGUUGAAUUUCGGGAUCUAUACGAUGGUCGUGCUUUAACGGUUCGAACUGUUGUGAUAGAUUCCUACCUUCUGAAUAACCGAUUUGCCAUUAAUUUGGUGGGUCGGGGAAGCAGGACUAUUACCUUGAAAAAAAUUAGAGUGCUCAAAGCAGGUUAUUGCCUGAAUACAUUAGCAUGGAAUAAUGAAAUAGGACGGCAUGGUUCUAUUUUGUUGGUCUCUAGGAUCACCGUAAUGAUUAAUAGGGAUAGUUGGGGGCAUUAGUAUUCAAUUGUCAGAGGUGAAAUUCUUGGAUUUAUUGAAGACUAACUACUGCGAAAGCAUUUGCCAAGGAUGUUUUCAUUAAUCAAGAACGAAAGUUAGGGGAUCGAAGACGAUCAGAUACCGUCGUAGUCUUAACCAUAAACUAUGCCGACUAGGGAUCGGACGAAGUUAAUUUUUUAAUGACUCGUUCGGCGC
RNAcentral lists this ribosomal RNA (520 nucleotides) under uncultured Acaulospora. RNAcentral describes it as "SSU rRNA". It matches the Rfam family "Eukaryotic small subunit ribosomal RNA", at positions 569 to 1086 of the family's 1831-position model. The record is from RNAcentral. Lineage: Eukaryota; Fungi; Glomeromycota; Glomeromycetes; Diversisporales; Acaulosporaceae.